This is a long non-coding RNA of Gorilla gorilla gorilla (western lowland gorilla), 708 nucleotides long. RefSeq lists it as uncharacterized. Lineage: Eukaryota; Metazoa; Chordata; Mammalia; Primates; Hominidae. The record is from RefSeq and is a predicted model, not a curated record. The transcript is spliced from 4 exons.
CACCAAUGGAGGGAGCAUUUAAGCCAGGCUUAGCCAGAGGAAAAUCCCUGAUCCCAGCGGUUGAAACUUGAGUUCCUGCAAACCUUGCCAGUGAGGGCUACAGUACUCUGGUUUUUCAAGUUUUAAGGAUGCUUCCUUUCAUCAUGAAAAGAACUUGAGGAGGGGUCCUGAGUCCUCCACCCCAGGUGAAGAAGACUGCAUUGUGACUCAAGUCCAAUCACCUGUACCUGCACCUGUCCUCACACAGCAAUGACCCAGAGCUGCAGGUGGAAUUCUACACUGGGACAAAUGAGGACUCAGACAUCGCCUUCCAUUUCUGAGUGCACUUUGGCCAUUGUCUGGCCAUUGACAGACAUGUGUGUAGGGCCUGGAAGUGUGAGGGGAGAUGCCACAAUGUGCCCUUUUAGGAUGGCAAGCCAUUUGAUCUGAGCAUCUUGGUGCUGGACAAUGAAUACCAGGUAAUAAUAAAUAGCCAACACUGUUGCAGCUUUGUCCAUAACUCCCACCAUGUUCUGUGAAGAUGGUGCAAGUGUGGAGAGAUGUCUCCCUGACCUCAAUGUCUGUCUGCAGUUGAUGCAGAUGAUCACACUCCUCAUUGUUGAGGAAUCCCUCUUUCUAUGUGACCAUAGGAUUUCCAGAGCCUACUAACAGCAUGAUCUCUCCUCACCGUUUCUGCUACACUUGGUCAUUAAAACAUCACCAAACUAC